Molecule: ribosomal RNA, 1000 nt
Filed under: Sphingobacterium sp. CV4
Lineage: Bacteria; Pseudomonadati; Bacteroidota; Sphingobacteriia; Sphingobacteriales; Sphingobacteriaceae
Description: bacterial SSU rRNA
Rfam family: Bacterial small subunit ribosomal RNA
Source: RNAcentral
CUAACUACAUGCAAGUCGGACGGGAUUCAGGGAGUAGCUUGCUACAAACUGAUGAGAGUGGCGCACGGGUGCGUAACGCGUGAGCAACCUACCCAUAUCAGGGGGAUAGCCUCUCGAAAGAGAGAUUAACACCGCAUAACAUCAUUUACCGGCAUCGGUUUUUGAUCAAAUAUUUAUAGGAUAUGGAUGGGCUCGCGUGACAUUAGCUAGUUGGAGAGGUAACGGCUCACCAAGGCUACGAUGUCUAGGGGCUCUGAGAGGAGAAUCCCCCACACUGGUACUGAGACACGGACCAGACUCCUACGGGAGGCAGCAGUAAGGAAUAUUGGUCAAUGGAGGCAACUCUGAACCAGCCAUGCCGCGUGCAGGAUGACUGCCCUAUGGGUUGUAAACUGCUUUUGUCAGGGAAUAAACCUUUCUACGUGUAGAAAGCUGAAUGUACCUGAAGAAUAAGGAUCGGCUAACUCCGUGCCAGCAGCCGCGGUAAUACGGAGGAUCCAAGCGUUAUCCGGAUUUAUUGGGUUUAAAGGGUGCGUAGGCGGUCCUAUAAGUCAGUGGUGAAAGACGGCAGCUUAACUGUCGCAGUGCCUUUGAUACUGUAGGACUUGAAUCUAUUUGAAGUGGGCGGAAUAAGACAAGUAGCGGUGAAAUGCAUAGAUAUGUCUUAGAACUCCGAUUGCGAAGGCAGCUCACUAAGUUAGUAUUGACGCUGAUGCACGAAAGCGUGGGGAUCAAACAGGAUUAGAUACCCUGGUAGUCCACGCCCUAAACGAUGAUAACUCGAUGUUUGCGAUACACAGUAAGCGUCCAAGCGAAAGCGUUAAGUUAUCCACCUGGGGAGUACGGUCGCAAGAUUGAAACUCAAAGGAAUUGACGGGGGCCCGCACAAGCGGAGGAGCAUGUGGUUUAAUUCGAUGAUACGCGAGGAACCUUACCCGGGCUUGAAAGUUAGUGAAUGAUCCAGAGACGGAUCAGUCCUUCGGGACACGAAACUAGGUGC